AGUAAAAAGAUCCUACUAAUUAAAUUGCAUAAUUCUGGCUUGAAAAGUAAUUAGAAAUAACCUUUGUCUGUUUCAGGAACUUUUUUUUCCUUGAUAUUAUAUUUCUAAAAUUAAGGGUAAAGUCUUUCCGGUGUACUGUUUCAUAGCACAGUGACAUGUAACCUGCAGUAAGUUAUUGCACCACUAACAUAUGUUAUAGUCAAAUUGUAACCCAUCACAAUUAUAUGUAGUUCAAUCAUAUAUAUUUAUUUCAGGUAAAAUUUAUUUGGUCCUGUUGAUGUCAUUAGCAAAGUCCUCCCAUUACACUGUACCGGUGAUCAACACUGCCAUGUAAAGAUUUCCGUCAUUGAUUUAGGUAAAUGUUGUAACAAUAUGUUAUAUACUUCAAUGAAUAAGCCUAAAUAGAAUUGAUAGAUCUCUGCAAUCUAUGUCAUAUCUAAAUUUGUGCUGUUACUCAUGUACAUGUUUCCUGAUAUAUGAAAAAUCACCAAAUAUCAAUGAAAAAGCUCAAACCCUUCAAGUAAAUGUAAAUGUCAUAUUCCCAACUUGGUAAGGUAUUAUAAAAUCAUAAGCCUUUUUCUGAAUUUAGUAAUUUUUAUUUUCUAACCUCUACAAAUGGUGCCAUUUUUUUUAUAAAAGUAUCAAAAUUAGCAUCAAUCACAAACUUAUUGACUCUGCAACAUUUCCCUUUGUUUAUGUACCCCUCUUGUGCUUGGAUCAGGGGUAAGGUUACACAAGGAGUCGAAUGCUUUUUAUAUUAUGUCUACAAUCAAACAAGUAUGAGGAAGAGUAUGCAGUUCAAACAUUUUUUUUUAACCUCAAUCAAAUAUUUGUUUCAAAUUAGAUUAAUUAAAUCAUGUUGGUGCCAUAAGAAAAUCCUACUUUCAUGUCCUACCAUACUAUACCAUACACCUUAUCGCUAUGUGUCCGCCAGUA
RNAcentral lists this long non-coding RNA (936 nucleotides) under Mytilus galloprovincialis (Mediterranean mussel). The record is from RNAcentral. Lineage: Eukaryota; Metazoa; Mollusca; Bivalvia; Mytilida; Mytilidae.